CUGACGGUUUUUUGACCAGCGACCCUGUUGUUUGCGUGUGAAUUAGCCGGCAAGCUGAAAAAAAUGUGCUUGGCUUGCGCAAGGUCAGUUUACUUACUACAAGUUAUGGGUAGUAUGUACGCCGGCUAAUUUCCCAAGCUCGGGGAA
This 147-nucleotide small RNA is filed under the name Metapseudomonas resinovorans NBRC 106553. Its description in RNAcentral is "Pseudomonas resinovorans NBRC 106553 Pseudomonas sRNA P14". It matches the Rfam family "Pseudomonas sRNA P14". The record is from Rfam by way of RNAcentral. Lineage: Bacteria; Pseudomonadati; Pseudomonadota; Gammaproteobacteria; Pseudomonadales; Pseudomonadaceae.